Molecule: long non-coding RNA, 333 nt
Filed under: Homo sapiens (human)
Lineage: Eukaryota; Metazoa; Chordata; Mammalia; Primates; Hominidae
Description: non-protein coding lnc-FAM217A-8:1
Source: RNAcentral
ACCAGGCAAGGCUGGGCAGUAGGAUGGAAAGCUGUUGGGGAAGGCUGGGCACAGUGGCUCACGCCUGUAAUCCCAGCAUUUUGGGAGGCUGAGGCUGGCGGAUCACGAGGUCAGGAGUUCGAGACCGGCCUGGCCAACAUGGUGAAACCCUGUUUCUACUAAAAAUACAAAAAAAUUAGCCAGGCGUGGUGGCACGCACCUGUAAUCCCAGCUACUUGGAAGGCUUGGCUCACUGCAACCUCCACCUUCUGGGUUCAAGUGAUCCUCUUGCCUCAGCCUCCUGAGUAGCUGGGAUUACAGACAUGCACCACUAUGCCUGGCUAAUUUUUGUAU